Molecule: long non-coding RNA, 6735 nt
Organism: Colossoma macropomum (tambaqui)
Lineage: Eukaryota; Metazoa; Chordata; Actinopteri; Characiformes; Serrasalmidae
Exons: 7
Source: RefSeq, a predicted model, not a curated record
AAGAAACUUCCCAAGGACUUCUUGGCUUUUUUGCCUGGAACAUGUCAGCAACUUUGGGCUCCACUUCAGUGAUGUCUUCUGGCUUUCCAUUAUCUCUGAUGUCACUCUGGCCUUGACUUGGGGCUUGUUGUCGGCACUGAUGUAGUACAUCUUGAACCAAGGAUCCAAACAAGGUUGGAAUUACACGCUGCACCUUCUUGGCCACAGCUUAAACAGGACCCAAGUUAAAGCUUUCUGCUGUUCAAGAAUCCUGCUGAUCAUCUUCUGUCUGGAAUCCCAUCUUAUCUGGCAUUCUGAUACAAGGGAAUGUUAUGGAAGACUAUGGUAGAGUUCUUCUGGGCUUUUUCAAGAGCACCUCUGGCCUUCCAGCUAUGAGAGAAGUGACCCACUCGCUUCUUGCAGAGACCUGCAGCACAGUCGACGUGUUCAUCCUCUUCCACUGCAUUUUCCAAAGGGAAAUAUAAAAACACAAAGUACACAUCAAUUAUUAUACACAUUUAUAUUUUUAAUAAGAAAGUGCUCAUGAAACUUUGCACACUAUGCAAAGUCAAGCAGCUGGUGUUAGAGGUACAGAAAGCCAAAAUUAAACCUGUUGUGUAGUGUCUGAAGACUCUUAGCUAAGCUAAUGCUUGGUGGCUCAUGACUGGCAUAUAUAAAUAUGCAUAUUAAUUUUAUAUUAUUAUUAGAAUUAUAUCCUUUUUAUCUUUCUAAUAUUCUUCUUAUAGAAGAAUCCCUAUCUUAAUUUUAUUUUAUCUUAAUUUUAGUCUCAAUCUGGUCUUGGACUCACUUUGUUCAGGUUUCAGUCUUGACUUGUCUCCAGUGUUCUUGACUACAACACUGAUGAAAACAAAGAGAAUGCCAAAGCCAGUAAAGCCUCUUCUUACUUUUUGAAUUCACCGCCAGGAUUUUCAUAUAUUUUAAUUUUAUAUUUAACUGUGUGGCUCUGAAUGAUAUUUAGAUUUCAGAAAACAAACAGUCUAAGCAUUCGCCCUGUCAUCAGGAGAUCGAGUCUGGCCCAUGGAUGGUAGGAUGGCCCUCUUCCCCCAUCACCCAGAGGCAUUCUAGCCUGUACGGGUGUUUGUUAGCUGACAUGACAGAAUUGCCAGUUAGUGUUCUCCUUCAAGCACGCUGAGCUGUCUAAUGAUGUUGUGCUUAGCAGUUCAGAAAGAUGCCGUAGUGCUUCACGUGACUAAGGAAGCUGGUGCUAGCCUUCACUCUCGGGUUUGGAAUUGUGUUAUAGGGUUACAAAUAAAUAAAUAAAUUAAUUAACAGAUUUUAAUUUAAGAGGCACUGCUUGAGAUACUGAUGAGCAGUGUUGCCAGAUUGGGUAGGCACCCAGAUUGGGCGGAUUUGGUCUGGCGGGGAAAAUAAUUAUGUGAACAGCUUUUGGUUCUUCAUAGCAGUGAUAAACACAUUAGUUAAAGAGACCAACAAUGCCAUCAAGUCUUCCACUUGAAAACCUAUGUGCAAAUUUUCGAAGGCAAGACAUCAGCGAAAAACAUACCUACAAGCUCAUUAUAGAUGUCACGUUGGUGAUUAUAUUGAUUUGUGGUUAAAAUGACCUUUUUGCUUCUGAUGCAUACUUUUUCAUGCAUUUUUGGUGAGUUUUGAACAUUUGUGGCCUGAAAACUCUAGAAGCAACUUGGCAACUCUGCUCACCAGUGACUUACUGCUAUGAAGGACUCAAGUUUGGUAGCAUUAUGUUACAGGAGGACAUAAAAUAUAACUAAUUUUUCUCAUGAAAGUGAAGGAGCUUUUGAGCUGCUCUUGUUAGCUUUAGUAGAACAAUGUUUAACGUCAGGCAUUUGUCAGUUUGUUUGCACAUUAACAAAAGGCCCUCCUCUUCUUUUUUUAUUCUUAAUUAGAUCCUGAUACCAAGCCAAGUUAAGGUUUGUUCACACAUUUCCCCUUAGGGUAUGGACUGAUGCUAGAGUGCAAAUGAGACAUCAAGGUCAGGGGUAAGAAUUAAUAAUAACUGAAAUGAACAAAAGGCUAACAUGACUUUUCAAAGUUUUGGCAUUAAUCUGAAAUUUACAAGGCCUGUCUUGGUUACCUUUAGUGGUAAUUCCCUGAUGUUUUGAGCAACAACCUCACAGCAACACCAAAGCAACCACCUGGGAUACCAUAACAACAGCCUAGCAACCACUUAGGAUAUCAUAGCAACCGCUUAGCAAUACCCUAGCAAUCACCUAGGAUACCAUAGCAACAACCUAGCAACACUCUAGCAACCACUUGGGAUACCAUAGCAACAGCCUAGCAACACUCUAGCAACCACUUGGGAUACCAUAGCAACACUCUAGCAACCACUUGGGAUACCAUAACAUCUGCCUAGCAACACCCUAGCAACCACUUGGGGUACCAUAACAUCUCCCUAGCAACACCCUAGCAACAAGCAGAAUCUGCGCAAUCACAACAUUUUAUUCAGGAAAUGCACUUUUUUAUUUAUAAAUGCAACUAUAAACAGGCAGCAACUGGUGUUGUAAACUUCAGUAAAUAAACACUUAAUAUUUCAAAUUAAAUGUGACAGUUCAUUCUCUCUAAUAGCGAAAAUAGCGAAACAGCAUAACAAUUAUGGUUUAGUAGGCUCAUGCACUUAAGAUGGAAAUAUUAUUUCCAGACAUCCAUUAAAAUUAUUUUAAGACAUUAUUUAAAUUCAUGCUCUGAAUGUACAAAAUGCUCUUUGGUCUUCUGUGUCUAGAGACGUCUUUUCUCAUUCACCUUAAUAUUUCCUUUCAUGCUUCAGGGAGCAAUUACUGCUUCAUCUUUCUGUUCUCUGUCCUUGACCAUGAACUGUGUAGCCACCCAGCCAGAAAGUAGUAAAGCUGACUGAUGGUUUAUGAAGAUUUUAAUGUCGUGAGAUAAACAGACCGUAAGAGCUAUGGAAAACCAAAAAUAGAGAAACAAAAGAAAACAAAAUAAAGUUCAAUUUCUCCAGUAAAAAUGAGAAUAUGAACAUUUCAUACUGUAAUAAGGAAACAAGGCAAUAUUCUAGCUUGCUCACGCAGUCUCUCAGCUCAUAUGCGAUAAGUGAGUUAAGAACUAUACCUACAUAUAAAAACGCAUCUUACUUAUCCAUUCACAAACUUGUGCUUAACCUGGGGUGUAUUCCAGAAAGCGGGUUUAACAAACUCUAAACCUAAGCCGGAACUCAGAGUUGACUUAUCUCGCCGUGUCAUAGUCAAAGUUUCCAGUUCCACAACAGCUGAUCAGAGUUAGUUUAGUCAAGAUUGAGUAGAUUGAACCCAGCUGAAGCGCGUUCACUGUUACCCGUAAAUAGGCAUUCGCAAUGGAGUGGCGAAAAACCGAUUCACUAUGGACACCAAUGAUGGAAAAAAGAGAGCAUCUUAUUUCACACCCAUAGAGCAGGAAAUAUUACUGACUGCAUAUGCAGAAAAUGAAUACAUAUUUACACGUAAAAGUAAUACUUCAGCAGCUGCAAAAGAAAGGGAAUUGGCAUGGCAAAAAAUUGCAGACCAAGUUAAUGCGUGAGUUAUUAUUAAAUUAUAUUUAAAUAAAACUAUGACACAUAAUUUAACAUUUAGCAAAUGGAUAUGGCAAAAAUAAUUUUAAUGUCAGUUGUAAUGGUUGUCUUGAUUUUUACAUUUUUUUUUCUUUUUUCAUUUACAUAAUAUAGGUGUAAUCCAAGUGGGGUGAAACGCACAUGGCAGCAAAUAAAGAUGAAAUAUAAAAACAGUGCAAAGUGGUAUGACUUGUACAUAACUACCUAAUGUUCUUACUUGUAACCAGCUUGGUAUGGCUUACAGUUGGUUAUGGCUUUGUAGCUAAUAGGAAAAAGGCAGAGGCACGGAAAACAGGAGGGGGACCACCACCACCGCCUUUCACCCAGGCAGAAGAGCUGGCGCUGUCACAGAACAGUGGCCGGCCUAUAACUGAUGGAAUCCCUGGAGGAAGCUCAACAGAGCCAACAACCCACCAGGACAUGACUGUUUAUGUUAAAGGAUGAAGAAACUGUCUCUGCUGUCUCAGAGUGGGAUGAUGCUCUUGGGAGGCCUAUGGAUGUACAAACAUGACAGGAGAUGUACAGCCCAAUGAGGGACCAUCAACAUCCAGAGCUCAGCUUGGAACACUGCCUGUAAAGGAUUUAUACAAGAUACACCUCCAGAAGCAAAUUGAGAACUGUGAUCUUAAGAUGGAGCACAUAAAACUCCAAAUAAAACAGACAAGCCUUGAAAUUGAGUUGCUGGAAUAUAAUUUAAAGGGCCAGGUUGUAGCGUGACUGUAUGGUGUCAUCACAUAUGGCAUGCAGGGAUACCCUCUGUCUGCAAGGAGGAGACUAUCGUAUUGUCCUGUGCUUUGAUUGGGAUGUGGGUUCCAUCCAUGCAGCCAAUGACUCUUGGAAAUCCUGAAAUAUUAAAAGAUGCAGAGCUAUUUCCACUUCCCAAUUAUUUUAUCCUUUUGUAAUCUUUGUUAAUAAAUACAAACCUGCAAUUCUGUGGAAUUCCUCUUUGAUGUUCAUUACAGGCUUAUGCCCAGGGAACACCACAAAACUGUACAUCAAACGUUUUAAUGCUAGGCAUACUUUUCGGACGGACCGACAUACAGUAGCCUUCCCUAUGUGUUCAGCGUCUCCUACAUUGUAUAAAAAGGAACCAUUUGCAAAAAAACGGAGAGCAAUGCAUAAAGUUUGCAAAGAAGUAAGUGCGGAUCCAUGAUGUGUGAUAUUGGAAAUGUAUGGCUUUAGAAUAUUAUUUAAGUAUCUAAUUGACUGUGAGGAAAAACGGUAACGUUCACGGAGAUACUCGUUGGGUAAUGAAAGUAUGUCCAAUCUGGGUCUAAUGACUCGUUCCCGACGAAGAGCUCGAUGAAUGAUUUGCGCUUCAAUAUCAACUGGAUCCUCGAGGAAAGGACACGCCAUGUUUGCUAGAGAAAAGUGCGUGUGAACCCGGGUUAUGUUUAAGUUAACCUGCCAGCGAGCAGGUUAGCUUCAGAGUGUAAGUUGCUAUAGUAACUGACACCGGUUUUCUUUAAUCUCAGUUUCUGGAACGGAAAACCUUGAGUUUGUUGUGAAUUCUGAGUUAACUUACCCGGUUUUAUCGCUUAACCCGCUUUCUGGAAUACACCCCUGAGUCUAGACAGUCAUAACAGAACUGUUUCUAACUAUAAGGCACUCAGCAUUUUCUCUCUCCUCCACUGUAGUGAGGUUGCUUUAGUUAUUUUUGCUGAUGCAUCUAAGAAUCCAUGCUACAGCUCUAAUCACCCGAGACCCGUGAAAACUUACACAGAUGAUCAACUAUGCUUACUUGUUCUGUCGUUUUGCUUCUCAAAGUUUAAGCACUUCUGACUUCGGGAUCUUCUAUCUCCAGCUCUGGAGUAACAUCUUCCGGCAGCUGAAAUUCCCUUUUCCAUAAAAACUCUAGACUCGUGAACCAGGUAGAUGUCAGAAGGUCAUUGAGGGCCAGGCCUCUGGAGGCAUGGUCAGCAGAAUUCUUUGUUAGAAGAAACAUACCUCCCCUGUUGAGGAUUUGAGCUAAGGUGUAUUUUCUGGACUCGGUUUGCGACAAACAUGUGAAAACGUCUUCGUUCUUUAUAUACCCUAAAACCACCUUGGAGUCAGUCCAGAAGAACUCCUCUGCCUGAAGAAAUGCCAUCUCCUCCCUAAGCAUGUUGCUUAUCUUCACAGAAAUGACAGCAGCUGUCAAUUCCAGCCUAGGAACAUUUGUAACCUUUGUUGGAGCUACUCGGGAUUUCCCAUUGACUCAAGCACAGUACACAUCCCCAUUUUCAUUAUGAAACCUCAAGUAGGAACACUGGCCAUACCCUAAUAUGCUAGUGCCAGAUAAAUGAUGCAAUUUGGUCUUGGUAAUGCUUCCAAAUCAAUCUGGUGCAUAACAAUGGGAUAUGAUGACCUGGGCACCCAGGGGAUAAAGGUCCUUGUUCUCCUUGGCCAGAUACUUCAGCCCGUGAUUGGCACAUCCAGGAGAGGAAACAGCGCCGAAUAGAUGUACUCUCAUAUGGCAAGUUUCUGUCGGCUUCACGUACAAGAAACUGGUGGAACAUCUUCUCGACAUCGCACGUUAAUGCAAUGGUGUGUUACUGAAACCUAAUAAGAGCCCCAAUUAUGUUGUUCAUCAAAUCAGGACCAGUGAGAAGAUGGUUGUUCCCUUAUACCUAGCUGAACAGUCAAACACUACUCGAUGUUUAUUUGGCUUUUUUGUGUGGUAGAUGCCAUGAUGCGGGAUAUACCAUCUCUCACCUUCAACGCCCCAGUUUUGGACUUCCUCUGCAUCUCCCUUAUCAAUAACCUCCUUCAUGAAAUUGACAUAAUGCCCCUAUACUUGCUGUCCUUUGCCAAUUUCCUUUUCAGGUGGUUAAGCUGCAGAAUAGCUAAAUUCUUGUUGUCUGGUAGACAACAAGGGUCUCUUCUUGAAGAGGAGAGGCAUUUCGUAAUGACCCUCACUGUUCUUCCAUAUAUCCUCACUUAACUUGUCAAGGAACAUGACAUCAUCUUGAGAAACUGUCUUGCUGUCUUCCUUUACAUCCUUGAAGUCAGACUCUAGAAUACGAAUGACAUCUGCAGGAGUUACAGGUGGUAAUUCUUUGACAGAAGUCUGUCUGAAUGGCAAAGGGUUCGUCAUUUCCUCCCAGAAUAACCUGCUUUGGCACUACUGCUCUCGAGAAGUUGUAGCCGAUGAACAGGCCUACUUCACAGUCUUUGAGUGGCUGGAGCUCAUCAGCUAUUUCUGAGAGAUGGGCCCAUUGCCUGGCUGACUGACA